This 329-nucleotide ribosomal RNA is filed under the name uncultured eukaryote. RNAcentral describes it as "partial 18S ribosomal RNA". It matches the Rfam family "Eukaryotic small subunit ribosomal RNA", at positions 1470 to 1796 of the family's 1831-position model. The record is from RNAcentral.
CCCUUAGAUGUUCUGGGCCGCACGCGCGCUACACUGAUGCAUUCAACGAGUCUAAAACCUGCUCUGAUAGGGGUGGGUAAUCUUUUGAAUGUGCAUCGUGAUUGGGAUAGAUGAUUGCAAUUUUUCAUCUUAAACGAGGAAUGCCUAGUAAACGCAAGUCAUCAGCUUGCAUUGAUUACGUCCCUGCCCUUUGUACACACCGCCCGUCGCUCCUACCGAUUGAAUGAUCCGAUGAAUAUCAUGGAUUGAGGAUGCAAGUAGGUUAGCCUAUCUUCAUCUUCGAGAAGUGAAGUAAAUCUUAUCAUUUAGAGGAAGGAGAAGUCGUAACA